Molecule: transfer RNA, 72 nt
Filed under: Candidatus Aminicenantes bacterium ADurb.Bin147
Lineage: Bacteria; Candidatus Aminicenantota
Also listed under: 2 other names
Description: tRNA-Cys
Rfam family: tRNA
About the family: Transfer RNA (tRNA) molecules are approximately 80 nucleotides in length. Their secondary structure includes four short double-helical elements and three loops (D, anti-codon, and T loops). Further hydrogen bonds mediate the characteristic L-shaped molecular structure. tRNAs have two regions of fundamental functional importance: the anti-codon, which is responsible for specific mRNA codon recognition, and the 3' end, to which the tRNAs corresponding amino acid is attached (by aminoacyl-tRNA synthetases). tRNAs cope with the degeneracy of the genetic code in two manners: having more than one tRNA (with a specific anti-codon) for a particular amino acid; and 'wobble' base-pairing, i.e. permitting non-standard base-pairing at the 3rd anti-codon position.
Source: RNAcentral
GGCGCGGUACCCAAGUGGCAAGGGAGAGGUCUGCAAAACCUCGAUUCGCCGGUUCGAAUCCGGCCCGCGCCU